GGCUCAGAGAGAACGCUGGCGGCAGGUCUAAUACUUGCAAGUCGAACGCCGUAGCAAUACGGAGUGGCAGACGGGUGAGUAACGCGUGGGAAUCUUCCUAAUGGUACGGAAUAGCCCGGGGAAACCCGGAGUAAUACCGUAUACUCCCGUGAGGGGAAAGAUUUAUCGCCAUUAGAUGAGCCCGCGUCGGAUUAGCUAGUUGGUGGGGUAAUGGCCUACCAAGGCAACGAUCCGUAGCUGGUCUGAGAGGAUGAUCAGCCACAUUGGGACUGAGACACGGCCCAAACUCCUACGGGAGGCAGCAGUGGG
RNAcentral lists this ribosomal RNA (309 nucleotides) under uncultured Pseudomonadota bacterium. RNAcentral describes it as "bacterial SSU rRNA". It matches the Rfam family "Bacterial small subunit ribosomal RNA", at positions 21 to 358 of the family's 1533-position model. The record is from RNAcentral. Lineage: Bacteria; Pseudomonadati; Pseudomonadota.